AAUCCUACCGUGGCAGACUUACUGGAUUAACAAGCAAACAGGUUUCCAUACCUCCUGAACGACAAGCUCAAGACAAGGGGACUUGAAUGUAAAAAAACUCUCUCUACCACAACCUCUCAAAGCACCCAAAACUUAUUGAUGGCUUACCGAUCGGUAGGACAAUUGCAGAACGUGAAUGAGCCCAUCGCAUGGAUGGUACAAAUCCAUCCUUGCUGAAAACCUCAAUAUUUUC
This 232-nucleotide long non-coding RNA is filed under the name Prunus persica (peach). Its description in RNAcentral is "long non-coding RNA (PPER_LNC007787)". The record is from RNAcentral. Lineage: Eukaryota; Viridiplantae; Streptophyta; Magnoliopsida; Rosales; Rosaceae.